Molecule: non-coding RNA, 82 nt
Filed under: human gut metagenome
Description: Glycine riboswitch
Rfam family: Glycine riboswitch aptamer
About the family: This family represents the bacterial glycine riboswitch.
Source: RNAcentral
UACUCUGGAGAGUCCCGUUAUGGGCGCCGAAGGUGUACGGCAGGCUGGCUCCUGCCUAUCUCUCAGGCAAAAGGACAGAGCA